Molecule: ribosomal RNA, 466 nt
Filed under: uncultured bacterium
Lineage: Bacteria
Description: partial 16S ribosomal RNA
Rfam family: Bacterial small subunit ribosomal RNA
Source: RNAcentral
GAUGUACGCUGGCGGCGUGCCUAACACAUGCAAGUCGAGCGAACCCUUCGGGGUGAGCGGCGGACGGGUGAGUAACGCGUGGGUAACCUGCCCUAUACACACGGAUAACGUACCGAAAGGUACGCUAAUACGGGAUAAAGUUGUUGGAUGGCAUCUUCUAACAAUCAAAGCUCUGGCGGUAUAGGAUGGACCCGCGUCUGAUUAGCUAGUUGGUGAGGUAAUGGCUCACCAAGGCGACGAUCAGUAGCCGACCUGAGAGGGUGAUCGGCCACACUGGAACUGAGACACGGUCCAGACUCCGACGGGAGGCAGCAGUGGGGAAUAUUGCACAAUGGGCGAAAGCCUGAUGCAGCAAGGCCGCGUGAGCGAUGAAGGUCUUCGGAUCGUAAAGCUCUGUCCUCAAGGAAGAUAAUGACGGUACUUGAGGAGGAAGCCCCGGCUAACUACGUGCCAGCCGCCGCCGUAA